GGCGUUGAUUGUGGGGGAUGAAAGACCGACAGCGUCGAUUGCAGAGUCGACGGCAGGAAAACAUGGAAGGAGGAGAGGUGGUGACUUGAAUUGGGGCUUUAGGGCUUGGAUCCGCUUCGGCCCUUCUUCCGGUGACCUCUGCUUCCGGCGACCUCUGCUUCGGCCCUUCUUCCGGCCCAGAUGACCUCUUUUUUUUCCUUUUUUUUUUAAUUUAAAAACGAUGUCGUAUUACUACCCUCGCCGGUCGUCCACGUCAACAAAAUCCGACAGCCACGUCAACACCGAUCAAGCUGGUGGUCAACGCAUGUGCAAUUUGCGACUAAAUUAAAAGGUGGUGUAUUAUGGGGCUAUUUUUGAAGGUCGUGUGCAAUAUACAAUUCCGGUGAAAG
This 389-nucleotide long non-coding RNA is filed under the name Salvia miltiorrhiza (redroot sage). RNAcentral's name for it is "long non-coding RNA (SMIL_LNC001320)". Lineage: Eukaryota; Viridiplantae; Streptophyta; Magnoliopsida; Lamiales; Lamiaceae. The record is from RNAcentral.